GAUUUUAUUAUUUCCUAGUUUAUUUCGGUUUAAAUUAGUAUUUCUAAUUAGAAUUGAAUUAGAUUCUAAAAUUCUAAUGUGAUUGGAUUCCUAAUUCUAUAAAUAAUAAUUAGGGUUCCUAUUGUUAGGGGACAAGCAUUGUUAUGACAAUUUUUAUGAGAUCAAUAAUAUAUUGAGAAUUAGUUCUCUCUUUCAAGGAUUGGUCCUUGAUUUUUCUUUG
RNAcentral lists this unclassified non-coding RNA (220 nucleotides) under Hevea brasiliensis (rubber tree). The record is from RNAcentral. Lineage: Eukaryota; Viridiplantae; Streptophyta; Magnoliopsida; Malpighiales; Euphorbiaceae.